AUGUUUUAUUAGUGUGUGUGUGUGUGUGUGUGUGUUAAUCCCAAUGUCACUUCUUUAUGUUACAGAUCGUGUACCUCGUCCCACUGAUCUAACCCCAAAGGCCAACGACAACACUGGGGUAAUAGCAGGCUGUGUUGUAGGUGUACUUGCCAUUAUUUGUCUUGCAGUAGUUGCAGUCUACAACGUUAAACGAAGCUCUCGAGGCAGCUACUCAUCAAAUGUGGCCACUAAAAACUCUGAAGACAAUGAGUUGUAGCAUCCUCUGCCAUGAUAAG
Long non-coding RNA from Salvelinus sp. IW2-2015, 275 nucleotides. RefSeq lists it as uncharacterized. NCBI's taxonomy places the organism in Eukaryota, Metazoa, Chordata, Actinopteri, Salmoniformes, Salmonidae. The record is from RefSeq and is a predicted model, not a curated record.